UUUUUUUUUUUUCCCCCCUUUAAAACAAGAAAGAGAAAAAGAAAGCUCUGUCUUUACCCAGUUUAGGAGCACCUCCUGAAAAAGGAACGGCACUAGCCAGAGCCAAGCUUCUCAGCCUUGACAUAUUCAUGGCAAGCUAAGCUUUUUUUCAAGGAAAUAUGGAUUUUUCUUUCUUUAGAAGAGCUAAAGGACUUCCAAAGAAGUACUUUCGACUCCAGCUACUUCUCAAUAUUGCUCAAAACUCACCAUUUGCUGACCCACUCUUCCGUCUCCCUCAGAAGGUCCGAGGCACCACCCCACCACUGAUCCAGCAAGAGAGAAUAUGCAUCACGCUCUGAGCACAGUCCUGGACACGUUUAUACACGGCAACUAUCAUUACCAUUAGGGAGCAAAAAUGAGCCCCAUGUAACAGCCUAAAAUUACUUAAGAGCUUGAUUUAGAGCCUGCAGUCAAACUCUGAUUAAGAAAUACACAUCCACUGAUAAGUUAAAAGCCUCCACUGGUUGACGGAGUGGGUUAAAAAAUAAUUUUCAAUCCUUUCGGGGGAUUUACAAAAUAAGAUGAUGUUUAUCAACCCCUGUUUUCGAGCCCACUGUCUUUCAUCACAGUAUGAAUGUUUUAUAAGUCACCCUAACUGCUCUGUAAAGUCUGAACUGACUGGUUCCCUCUGGGCUGCGGUCUCGGGCUCAUCUUCAAGUAGGACAGCUCAGUGAUAAGGGAGCUUAUUGCCCCAUGUGGGCCCACACAAACCCGCCACCAUGCUGCAGUUCCUGGGAAAUACUCUUGCGAAGAACGUUUUCACGGGAGCAUUAGUAUUUGACCAAGAGAACAGUCACUCCUAGCACCAACCUCCCCAGGAACACGUAAUAAUGCUCCUUCAAUUUGUCCUGUGGUUUAUACGUUUUCAAGCCCUCUUAAAUUCCUCUCUCGUUUGACCACCACCAAUCUUGUCUUGUUAAGUAGACAGAAUAGGAACCAUAAUUCAGACUUUACAGCUUUAAAAAGAUUCAUCCAACGUCAGAGUGACCACUGUGAGUCAUUCCUUCCCAAGGUCCCCAGGUGGUUAGCAGCAAAUCAGGAAGCAGCACCAGGUCUCCAGUUUCUAUUCCAGUGUUCUUUUUCUCUAUGAAGAUAUCACUUCCCAAAAGAGACUCAUCUUUUCAAACUGUUCAAAAAUCACAUUUCAUCUUCUAAAUAAGAAAAAAACUGAGUAUACCAAAAAAAAAAAAAAAAAACCCAAAAGUAUUUCAUGCUCACACCUAAAAAGCAGAGUUAUAAAUAACACCAAAGACUAGGUUGUUCCACAAAAUCAAGAACCUUGAUGCAAGACAUCAAGUCUUAAAAUUUGAAAAAGAAUGCAACUCCCUCUAAACCAUCCUCCACCACGUACACAAUACUACUACCCACAAGUCUGACCACAUGGCUCAAGACGCUAUUUGUGAAAAGAAUAAAGGAAACAGUUGUCAACAUCUAGGAGCUCCUCAUGAGUUAGAAGAGUCAGUCUCAAUGCCGACUUAGAAGAGUCAGUCUCAAUGCAGACUUAGAAGAGUUAGUUUCAAUGCAGAGUUCAAGUCAAGAUCAGCGUGGUAAUGCAAACAGUGAUACUGGCCAUGGUAUUGCUGCAUUACGACCCAAUCAAAGUGCACAAAUCUACCCAAAACUAAAAAUGGGGGUUUCAUCCCCAUCACUAGUGUUGCUUAUGCGAUAGGUCCGGGCCAUCUGGUCUACCCUCUCCCAUCACGGUGGAGCCCUUUGAGCGACAGUCCUAUCAUGAGGGAAAAUAAGGGAAUUUUGGCCCACCCUUUAAACCUAACUUACGGACCUAAGUGACAUUUUACAAAGAACAUUUUGCUUCAAAUCAAAUGUUCCAAUUUGUGGAACCAAGGCAGUCUGGGCAGAAGGAGACUGAGGACAGAAGUGGACAGGUCCAGAAUACAAGGCAGGGAUGGAGAUUCCCGGACAUUCCAGUCGGAGGGAGGAUGACCCGGGAGGGUGGGUUCAGGAGGGUGAGCUUACUUAAGCCAUGGCCCUGGGUAGACCCCAGAGGACCCCACCCACCCUUCCUCCCUGGGGCCAUUCCCUCACCUGCACAGGUCUACCUACUCACUGCCAUCCGUGGCUCAGCCCCCCUCAUCAAGCCUGUGCCAGAUACCACUGUCUUGCUAGUACGACCCUGGGCCUCACCACAUAGAGCCUGCAGCCUUACAUCCUGCUGCCCAGACUAUAUGGCCUGGCUUCCUGGUUCUCUCUCUUAAAUGGACCUUUAUCUGCUCAGGCCUUGAAUUCCAUGACCUGGAGCCCCGUACACCUGCGACUCCUUUGGCUACACCUACCUACACUUCUCCAAGCCCUUGCCUUCAACACCUAGCUACUGAACUCCUCCCUCUCUGAUAAACUUCCACUCCUGGCUCCUCUUGGGAAGCCACAAAGGAUAAGGAAGCCAGAGGCUGCACCUUGGCAAGAAGGGCAGGAAGGUGACAGCUGCCAAAGCCAUUCACCCUCCUCCUAGUUCAAAUUGCAGGAGGCUGCCACCUCCUCCUCCUCUUCCUUCUCCUCCACUCCCCAGCGACUCCAUGCAACUCAACAACUUGAAAAACCAAUGCCUGGCUGUAGUAGCCGGCUUCUCAUCAGAGGUCAGCGUCCCUCAGGGUGAAGAGCAUCUGCAAGGUUUGGUGCCAAAUGUUAAAGACCCCAUGACAGUGUGCACCGAAACUGGGCUAAAGUGGUUAAGUUGCUGGAUAUAGUGUGUAAGCUCACCCCUCCGCCGCUUCGUUUUAUAUUCACUUUACAUAUGAAUAUACACACACACUUCAUUUUAUAUUCACUUUACAUAUGAAUAUACACACACAUGCAUACAUACACAUAUAUAUACACACGCAUAUAACACAUACACAGAAAUAUACACACACAUAUUUCUCUUUUAAAACAAAACAAAAUAGAGCAGUUUAAAGAGAAAACAACACAGAAAGUCAACACACACACACACACACACACCAUCACCCCCAACCGCUGCUAGUGAGAUUUUCUCCCAAAAAGUUUCUGGAUGACUGUCACUUGCUACCUAACCCUUAACUACUGGCUGGGUCUGGGGACUCUACCCCAGUUGCUCCACAGGGCUGUGUCCCUGUUGCCUUUCGUUUCCUAAAGACAAAAGGGGGAUGUAAACAUGAACUAGACCAGAAGCAGGGGACCGCCAAGGAGAACAAUGUAAUCUAAAGUGGCACCGAAAUGCAUCUCCAGCAUUGUCAUCUUAUGAGCGGCCCAUUUCACUCCAGACCCUCACGGGUCCAGAGGAACCUGAAUCCUGGAACUUGGCGUCCCGAAAUAAGUGGUUUCUCUCUGAAAGUCAAAUGCAGAGCACAAAGCAACCUGCCCAAGCGUCUCAGGAAGGCCUGUUACAUAAGUGUGUCGGCACUGCAGUCCCCAACUCCACUCACGCUCAUCCCCCCCACCCCCACACACACACCCCGGGGAGGGCAGAGGUGGGGCAGAGAGGAAAACUGGACAGAGGCAAGGCAGGGCAGAAUCAGAGUGUUCACUCUUAACAUUCAAAUUCCCGAGUCACAGGUGAAACCCCACCGCUGUCAUUGUUUUACACACUGUCUCCACUCACACACACAUACACACACACACAAGAUGCUUUUAAAAAGUUGCAUUAGCUUCCCUGUUUAAAACCCUUCCUUUUGUUGAGCGCCUUGAGAUAAAAGCUGUGUUUGACCCUCUGGCCAGUCUUCAAAUCCCGGCACUUGCCUGAGCUGGGACCAGAGCAGACUUCCACCCGCCCGACCGUGGAAGGCACGGGCCCUGCCGGCAGAGCAGGGGUUAAUGGAAGCUGACCGCAGCACAGUUGUUAAGGUAAUCAAUACCACUGAGAUACUAAAGCAGCAUAAGCCACAAUAUUGAUUGCCAAGCAGAUGAUAAAACUGUUUAUUAUGAUAAUUGCAGGGUCCCUGCAAGAUGCUCCCAGUGCUUCCUAAAGCUGUUUACAAAACUAAUAAAAGAUUUGCCAUUUCAAGGUCUUCCAUUAUAACCAGCCUCCCUCCCCCAAACUCCCACCCGUGGCCCACCACCAAAAAGUGGGCCUCUCCCCCCCUCCCGGGGGGGGGCGGCUACGAGCCCCAGGGACCACAUCAGAACCCGUCCUGGGUGUGUCCCUGCCCUCAGGGGUCUCAGGGGCCUCAGAGGAAGGGGCUCUCCACCUCCAGCCUCGCCCUGCCCCCACCUGCAGGAAAAGGAGGCCGGAAGCACAGCCGACUAGACACUCGGGGCGUUAAGAUUUCCUCCUCAGAGCCUGCCAUGUGAUAAUGAUGGGGUUUUAUUGACGGAGGGGGCUGCUCAGGGCUACUUGAGCUAACAUCCAUUUGUUAUAACACAUUUAAGAAACCACAUCACCUUGGUUUGUAAUUAAAACUUCUCUGGAGAACUUGGUGGCCGUGGAACUAACUCAACACAGGCUGAUGCUGGAAUGCAUUCUGCCGACAAACCUCAGCACUGACUUUGCCUGCCAUGCGGGGCUCGUGUCUCCAACUCUACCGUGCCCGACGCAACAGCUUCGUUUCACUACCCGUUGCGUUAACUCCCUCUUGGUUACAGAUACAGCCAUCUGCCCUGAGACCCAAGUCUUUGGAUUAAUGGCACUGGGGGGGAUAUGCGGUGAUAUUAUUGUCACAGGCUGUGAUCUGACUUCCAAGGUGAACUGGAUGACGGUGGAAAUGUUUCUCAAGAGAAGUAGGCAUCUCACAGGUAGCUCAUCAAACUGCUGCAGGGAAAACUCACUGGGUCCUAAGAAUAAGUACGGUAGCUUCAGGACACAAAGCCUGCUAAUAUACCAAGGGUGAAUUUUCAUGGUAUGCAAGAAGGCGAAAAAGGACCCAUGUUUUGAGAAGAAAUCAGAAGCCAUUACACCUGUGAUGCGAAGGCAAAGCCCUCCCACCCCCACUCGACCCUCAACAGCACAGGCUCAGUCCACAGUGACCAGCAGGAUGUUACCAAUAACAGAAUUCGACUGGGCUUGGCUUUGAACAAAACCACAGUCACACCUUAGGAGCCCUCCUCCUCUGUGAGUUGAUGGGCCAAAGAAAGAUGAUUUGGAGGCAGCUUCUUCCUUUUCAACCAAAGCACGGAGAAAUUUUAACCCACGCUCCUAUCUUGACCUUGCACCAUGACCUCUGCUUAGGCACUGAAGCCCCGAGUCCUCUCCCGUGUCAGCAGUACCCAGCGGCCCUAGCAGCGCACUGCCCAUGGAGCCUGCCUGUGCGUACACAUGCACGGCCUGGUUCCGUGAACCAGUUCAGACACGCUGCUCCUUUGUAGACACCUGUCUGCUCCGCCUACUCACAAUGACACAGAAAUGAGGAGACUGGAGCCAGUUUUGUGCAGAGUAUAAUCCCCUUGCCAAAGACCUUCCCAUGAACUCACAGAUACUGCAGCAUGGCUGGAAGGAAUGCACCGAGAUUAGUUUAACCCGGUUACCCACUCUUCCAGGAGCUACUUGGCAACCAGGAAGGCCAGGAGGAAAUCCAAGGCUUCGCUAUGACUGCAUUUCAUGGACAACCCACUCCUAGGCAAAGCGGCAGAGGACAGUCAUCGACCACUCAACUCCCAGCCGGAUGCCCGGCUCUCGGCUCCAUGUGCCCAUGGGGCCCCGGUUCACACACACAUCCCUGGACUUGAUACCAGGAGAAAGUUGAAUAUGCAGUGUGACGAAUUCUGCCCUUACCUUUUAACCUCACUCAUACAUAGGAGUUGUGCUCUCAAACAAUAACUCCGACAAAAAAAAAUAUACCCUCGGAACGAUAAGGUCCACACUUGGAAACCCGCCCACGAUGGCCAGCCAAGCCCGCCUAAGUGCUAAGAACCAUUUAGGAGCAUUGUAAACCAUUAGGGCCAUUAGCUCUAAUUUGACCUCAACAAAAUAAAUCAACCCACUAGGAACAAAUUUAGAAGCUUUCCAAAGUCAAGUUCUCAAACCCUGAAAGGCUCACAAGCACAAUCCAGGGCAGGGAAUGAAUGGCCAGCCUCUGAGCGCCCUCCCCACGCCCCCCUUCCCUGUACUUCACUAGUGAGAGUGUGUGUACCUGGGACCAGGCCUCUGGAUUCUUCUGAACUCACGGGCUCAGGAAGCUGUGGCCAUGGCUGUGCAAGGGAUUCACUCUUUUCCUUCCUCUGAGUUCACAUCCCAACACGAAUUUUCAUCUUUCAAAGCCGGUGGACGUUUAGAUGUAUUUUCAAGAUAUUCGGAUGGGCUUUCAACUGCGCCGAUUCACAGCACCAGGUCAGAGUUCGCCCAGGCUUUCUAUCUUUCAAUAGGCAGGUAUCAUGUAUAUUAAGCACUGUGAUCCCCCAUAUUAACACAUGUGUCAACACAGUAAAUAAUUUCUCCAACAAACCUUAUAACCAUCAGCACACACUCUGCAUUUAAAUUGCAAAGUCAUCCUAAUUUUUCAUCGUUCUUCUUCCCUGAUGAGUACUGGCUGCAUUUUUUAAAUACUGAUGGCUCUGCCCUAAUGGAGAAACAAUGAAAUAAACUAUGGCACCACCAAAUGCCACCAGGCAAUGGGAGAAGAGGGUUAUUUUUAACUAGGGAGGCAGGCGGAC
RNAcentral lists this long non-coding RNA (6597 nucleotides) under Sus scrofa (pig). RNAcentral describes it as "lncRNA (ENSSSCG00000057766.1)". The record is from RNAcentral. Lineage: Eukaryota; Metazoa; Chordata; Mammalia; Artiodactyla; Suidae.